Molecule: long non-coding RNA, 4259 nt
Organism: Vidua chalybeata
Lineage: Eukaryota; Metazoa; Chordata; Aves; Passeriformes; Viduidae
Exons: 2
Source: RefSeq, a predicted model, not a curated record
AGCUCCAGCCAGGGUUUAUUAGGGUCUGACGCUCCAGGGGUCUGGGGGUUAAAGACAAAGACAAAGGAGGGUUUAGGGUAUAAAUACAGGAAAAGAGGGGGUGGAGGAAAGCAUCAGGGAUCCAGUGGUCUGAGGGCUCAGGGGUGGUACACAGGGAAAGGGACUGAUGGGGCUCACCCCCAGAUUGGGGUGACCCUGGGAGCUGGUAAAGUCUCUCCUCCAACCCGUGCCUUCAAAGAAAGACUCAGUAGUCUUCAGUCAUCCGGUCUCAAGGUAGUUUAUUGCAUGUUGUCUCAAGGCACACACACUCCCUGACAUUUCCUCUGACUCCUUCUCCCUCUGUGUCUCUCUCUGUCUCUGUCUCUGUCUCUGUCUCUGUCUCUGUCCCUUUCCAUCUCUCUCCGUCUCUCUCGCCCAUGGGCUGGUGCCAUCUUUUAUAUCACACAUUACUUAUUAAAUGUUUAUAGUUUUUCCUCAAUGCCUAUCACCUAUAUUGAAAAGGGACUUUCUACUCUAAACCAAUCUGUGAGUGUAAACAUCACCAAGAACAUGGGGGAUAGGAAGAAGAAAGAAGGAGGACAGGGCACGCCCAAAUCCCUCCAUCUUAGAACUUCCGACCCCCAUGUACAAAACUCAGACCCCUCUGUACAAGGCCUAACCCCCCCCUGUACAGCACUCAAAAAUUCUUCCUUUCACUUUGUGACUACUUCUAUUAUAAUAUCUAAACUUUUGUGAUUUCUUGUUCUUCCAGCAAGGUUGGUAAGUUGUUCCAUGGAUCAAAUUCAAAACUACAGGGGUUCCUGGGUGCCUGCCAGGGUCUCAGAUGCUUCUGACCUGGACCCGGAACAUCCAAGAGUGUCUGAGGGACACCUUGGGUUCCAACACCUGCCCUGUGCCUCUGUCCCUGCAGGCUGUCCUCAUCCCCCAGCUGCCCCACCUCGCUGGCCCCUUCCUUUGCUGACAGCUCUGCCUCCUGCCUGCCUCUGCCUGGCCACACAAAGCCUUGGGCUGCUCCAGGCUCCUUCUGGGGAUGUGUUGCACCACAGCCCUGCCCUGGGAGGGAAAUUCCUUUCUCCUGGUGUCCAGUCUGGAUUUCACCAGUUGCAUUUCUGGUAUAAUUUCUCUCUCUGGCUGUUUCCCUCUAUGGAGAAAAGCUCCACCAUUUCUGAAUCCACCCUUCAAGCCCUGCCAGGCCACUCCUGAUCUGUUCUCAGUUUCUUCAUAACUGAGCCCAGGCACAUCAGCCUCCAUAUACGUGUUUGGUUCUUGAGGCCUACAAACCCAGCCUGGGAGAUCUCUGGGCCCUCUCAAGGUGUUUGCAAAUGAAAACAUUCUGCUCAUAUCACCAGAGGCCAAGGCCAGGCAGAACUGUCUGUCCUGGCAGCUUUUGUGUGGCAGCAAUCCUAGGAUAGAUGGAAAUUUGGCCGCCAAAUUCCAGUUUCUGCCACGGUCCCUGGACAAGAAGGUCAGUUCUGUUCUGUAGGAAGGAAGGCAGAGAGCCCCAGUGCUUCUGAGGCAGAUGAGAUGUGACCACCAGAGGCCAAGGCCAGGCAGAGCUGGCAGGAUUUUUCUGGCAGAUACCACUGCAUACAGGAAACUUUAUAGGGGAGAUACCAAUUUUGUCCAUGGCUGUCUGAAAAGAGGAACAGUUCUUUUCCAUAGCAAGGAAAGCACGGAGCCCCAGAGCUCCAGGAGCUGAUGAGAGGCAGCCCUUGGCAUUCCAACAUCAGCCAGACCUGUCAGGUGGCCCCUGGGAGGCCAAGCCAGCCAGACCUGUUCCAUCUUCCCUCGGUUCCAUGGGGCCCCACAGUGUCCCAAUGGUCCCUUGCUCCCAGGAGGCCCUGAGGUGUCACAAUGCCCCCUUGGUGACACGAGGCCCUGAAGGGUCCUCAUGGUCUCCAUGGUUCCAUCAGGCCCCACAGAGUCAUGAUGGUCUCUGGGUCCAUGAAGCCCCGCGGUGUCACCAUGGCCCCACAGUGUCACAAUGGUCUCCAUGGUUCCACCAGGUCCUCACAGCGUCACCGUGGUCUCCAUAGGAAGGGAACAACCCAGCCCCAGUGUUCCAGGGGCGGAUGAGCCGCAGCCACCAGAGGCCAAGGGCAGCCAGAUCAGAUGGUGCUGGCAGAUUUUGUCCUUGGAUAGAGGGAAUUUUAGAGGAGGAUUACCAGUUUCAGACCUGGUUGCCUGGAGGUGAAGGACGGUUCUUGUCCAUAGGAAGAAAAGCACAGAACACCGGUGUUUCAGGGCCAGAUGAAAAGAGGCCACCAGAGACCAAGGGCAGCCAGACCUCUGUGUCCAGGAAGGAAAGCACAAAGCCCAAGUGUUUCAGGGGCAGAAGAGGAGAGAGGUGGCUCCUGGGAGGCCAAGCCAGCCAGAGCUGUUUGUCCUGGCAGCUUUUGUCACUGAGAAAUCCUUGGAUCUAGGGAAUUCUGGAGGAACAUUCCCAACUUUGGCCAUGGGCAUCCGGUCGAGAUGGAUGGUUUUUCCCACAGGAAAGAAAAGCACAAAGCCCAGGUGUUUUGGAAGAAGAUGAGAGGUGGUCACCAUAGGCCAAGAGAGUCAGAUCUGUCUUUCCUGGCACCUUUCAUCUGGGGGAAAUCCUUGGAUGUACAUAGUUUUGGAGGUAGAAUCUCAGUUUUGGCCAUGGGCACCUGAGCAGGAAGAAGAGUUCUUUUCAUCAGGAAGGAAAGCACAAAGCCCCAGUGUUUCAAAGGCAGAUAAGAAUCAGCUCUUUGGAAACCAAGCCCAGCCAGACUUGCCUCUCCUGGAAGCUUUCAUUUGGGAGAAAUCCUUGGAUAUAGGGAAUCCUGGAGGCGGAUUCCCAACUUUGGCCAUGGGUGCCUGGAUGUGGAAGGUGCUUUUUCCCAUAAGAAAGAAAAGCACAGGGUCCCAGUGUCUCAAAGGCAGAUGAGAGGUGGCCCCCGGGUGGCCAAGCCAGCCAGACCUGUCUGUCCUGGCAGAUUUCAUCUGGGAACAAUCUUUGCAUAGAAGCAAAAUAAGAGGAGGAAUCCAAAUUUUGGCCAGGGGCACCUGGAGGAAUAGGACAGUUCUUUCCACAGGAAGGAGAGCACAGAGCCCCAGUGCCCCAGGGGCUGACAAGCAGCAGCCCUUGACAUGCCAAGGUCAGUUGGACCUGUCAGGUGGCCCCCAGGUGGCCCAGCCAGCCAGGCCUUGAUGCCUUGAGAGGCCACCUAGAGCAGAGGCUGGACAGUGUGACAGGAAUAAAGGAGGGAUUUAUUGAAAAGGCCUUCAAAGGAUCCACCUUGGGCAGUACAAGGGCCUGGCUGAGGGUACACCCAGGAUGGACGACAGGUCACACGUUUGCACACUUUUAUAAGUUUUGGUUCAUUUCCAUAUUGGGGUUAAUUGUCCAAUUACACCUUCAGGUUUCGCAGUCCCACCCUCCCAGUCUGCUCUCCUCAAUUCGCUGUUGUUUUCACAUUUUGGGCCUGAAGCUGCAGCGGUGUCCUUGGUUCUCGGGCUGGAAAAGGAUUGUUUUGUCUGACUGCACUGUGAAGAGAACUUGCUGACAGUCUGUAUGAAGUUCAGAGUUACAGACUGAUGCAGUGCAGAAUCUGGAAAAUACGAAAGAUAAAACUUCAGGCACCAGCCUGUCUCACAUUCCCUUGGUUCCAUGGGGACCCACAGUGUCACAAUGGCUCCUCCGUGACACUCUGGCCUGCACCCGUGUCACCCCGGGCCCUCGGUUCCAUGGGAGUUUCACAAUGGUCUCCUCUGGUUCCACGAGGUCCCCAGAGUGUCACAACUGACCCAUGGCUCCAUGAGGUUUCCCAGUGUCACCGUGGUCGCUGUCAGAGGCUGGAUGAGAUCGAUGUCCCGAGACACCUUGGGUUGAGCUGUCAAUCAGUCACACAGCUGGGACAGCGCUAACCCAGCUCUGAACGCCCGAGCAAUCAGAAGUCCCAGCUGGGGGGAGGCCCACGAAGGCCCAGGGGCUUAAAACCAAGGAGCACAAGGUCAGCCCCUGCUAUGGACUCUGCCUUCCCCUGGGGUUUGUGUCUCAGCCACACUGGAACCCCAGGAGCUGGGAGCCACAGGUGUGUCUUUCUAUGGAGCUUCUGUCUUUCUGUCUCUCUCUCUCUUUCCUCUCCUUCUAAUGCUCUUUCUAUGGAACAUUUUUGGGUACCUGAACAACUGAAGUGUUUAAGGCUUUCCAGGCUAAAUGGGCUGAGUGAAUGAAGUUACUGCUACGACAAGUGUUUUACGUUGGAUUGGAUGUUGUAUUAAAUGCUUUUCCA